Molecule: long non-coding RNA, 165 nt
Organism: Gopherus evgoodei (Goodes thornscrub tortoise)
Lineage: Eukaryota; Metazoa; Chordata; Testudines; Testudinidae
Exons: 3
Source: RefSeq, a predicted model, not a curated record
CAUUAGAACAUCCAGUCAUAUGGUGAAUCAUAGAAGAUUAAGAUUGGAAGAGACCUCUAGAGGUCACCUAGCCAAUCCACUGCUCAAAUCAGGAACAACCCCGACUAAAUCAUCCCAGCCAGGGGUUUGUCAAGCUGGGCCUUAAAAACCUCUAAGAAUGGAGAU